UACGAAGGGUGCAAGCGUUGCUCGGAAUUAUUGGGCGUAAAGCGCACGUAGGCGGCUUUGCAAGUCGGAUGUGAAAUCCCUCGGCUCAACCAAGGAAGUGCAUCCGAAACUGCAGAGCUUGAGUACCAAAGAGGAUCGCGGAAUUCCCGGUGUAGAGGUGAAAUUCGUAGAUAUCGGGAGGAACACCAGUGGCGAAGGCGGCGAUCUGGGUGGAUACUGACGCUGAGGUGCGAAAGCGUGGGGAGCAAACAGG
This 253-nucleotide ribosomal RNA is filed under the name uncultured bacterium. RNAcentral describes it as "partial 16S ribosomal RNA". It matches the Rfam family "Bacterial small subunit ribosomal RNA", at positions 524 to 776 of the family's 1533-position model. The record is from RNAcentral.